CAGUAGCCGCGGGAAUACGAAGGGGGCUAGCGUUGUUCGGAAUCACUGGGCGUAAAGGGUGCGCAGGCGGGCACAUCAGUCAGGGGUGAAAUCCCGAGGCUCAACCUCGGAACGGCCUUUGAUACUGUGUGUCUUGAGUCCGGAAGAGGUGAGUGGAACUGCGAGUGUAGAGGUGAAAUUCGUAGAUAUUCGCAAGAACACCGGUGGCGAAGGCGGCUCACUGGUCCGGAACUGACGCUGAGGCACGACAGCGUGGGGAGCAAACAGGAUUAGAUACCCGUGUAGUCCCUGUCUCUUAUCC
RNAcentral lists this ribosomal RNA (301 nucleotides) under uncultured bacterium. RNAcentral describes it as "partial 16S ribosomal RNA". It matches the Rfam family "Bacterial small subunit ribosomal RNA", at positions 509 to 809 of the family's 1533-position model. The record is from RNAcentral.